Molecule: unclassified non-coding RNA, 324 nt
Filed under: fungal sp.
Lineage: Eukaryota; Fungi
Description: partial internal transcribed spacer region
Rfam family: Eukaryotic small subunit ribosomal RNA (bases 1-46)
Source: RNAcentral
AAGUCGUAACAAGGUUUCCGUAGGUGAACCUGCGGAAGGAUCAUUAUUGAAUAAUCUUGAUGGAUUGUUGCUGGCUCUUCAAAGGAGCAAGUGCACAUCUGUCAUUUUUAUCUUUCCACCAUGUGCACUAUGCAUAGACUUGACAUUUCUGUGAUCAAACUUUGUUUUUGAUUUUUGGAGAUUGCUGUUUGUGAUAACAGCUUUUUCUGUGUUCAAGUUCUAUGAAUUUAUAUACACGCCUAUGCAUGUCAAAGAAUGUUAUAAAGGGUUUUUAAAAUCCUAUAAAGUUAAAUACAACUUUCAGCAACGGAUCUCUUGGCUCUC